GGAAUCUUCCGCAAUGGGCGAAAGCCUGAUCCAGCCAUGCCGCGUGUGUGAAGAAGGUCUUCGGAUUGUAAAGCACUUUAAGUUGGGAGGAAGGGCAUUAACCUAAUACGUUAGUGCUUUGACGUUACCGGCAGAAUAAGCACCGGCUAACUCUGUGCCAGCAGCCGCGGUAAUACAGAGGGUGCAAGCGUUAAUCGGAAUUACUGGGCGUAAAGCGCGCGUAGGUGGUUUGUUAAGUUGAAUGUGAAAUCCCCGGGCUCAACCUGGGAACUGCAUCCAAAACUGGCAAGCUAGAGUAUGGUAGAGGGUAGUGGAAUUUCCUGUGUAGCGGUGAAAUGCGUAGAUAUAGGAAGGAACACCAGUGGCGAAGGCGACUACCUGGACUGAUACUGACACUGAGGUGCGAAAGCGUGGGGAGCAAACAGGA
RNAcentral lists this unclassified non-coding RNA (427 nucleotides) under plant metagenome. Its description in RNAcentral is "partial contains 5.8S ribosomal RNA, internal transcribed spacer 2, and large subunit ribosomal RNA". It matches the Rfam family "Bacterial small subunit ribosomal RNA", at positions 358 to 777 of the family's 1533-position model. The record is from RNAcentral.